GCAGCACGGGUGCUUGCACCUGGUGGCGAAUGGCGAACGGGUGAGUAAUACAUCGGAACGCACCUUGUAGUGGGGGAUAGCUCGGCGAAAGCCGGAUUAAUACCGCAUACGCUCUGAGGAGGAAAGCGGGGGACCUUCGGGCCUCGCGCUACAAGAGCGGCCGAUGUCAGAUUAGCUAGUUGGUGGGGUAAAAGCUCACCAAGGCGACCAUCUGUAGCUGGUCUGAGAGGACGACCAGCCAGACUGGGACUGAGACACGGCCCACACUCCUACGGGAGGCAGCAGUGGGGAAUUUUGGACAAUGUCCGAAAGCCUGAUCCAGCAAUGGCGCGUGCGUGAAGAAGGCCUUGAGGUUGUAAAGCACUUUUGACCGGAAAGAAAUCCUCUGGGUUCAUACCUCGGGGGGAUGACGGUACCGGAAGAAUCUGCGCCGGCUAACUACGUGCCCUCCGCCGCGGCAAUACCUAUGGUGCAAGCGUUAAUCGAAAUUACUGGGCGUAUAGCGUGCGCAGGCGGUUUUGUAAGACUGAUGUGAAAUCCCCGGGCUUACCCUGCGAUCUGCUUUCG
RNAcentral lists this ribosomal RNA (567 nucleotides) under Pandoraea sp. LB10-CHR-10-28-W. Its description in RNAcentral is "bacterial SSU rRNA". It matches the Rfam family "Bacterial small subunit ribosomal RNA", at positions 69 to 629 of the family's 1533-position model. Lineage: Bacteria; Pseudomonadati; Pseudomonadota; Betaproteobacteria; Burkholderiales; Burkholderiaceae. The record is from RNAcentral.